UGCAAGUCGAACGCGUUGGCCCAAUUGAUUGAUGGUGCUUGCACCUGAUUGAUUUUGGUCGCCAACGAGUGGCGGACGGGUGAGUAACACGUAGGUAACCUGCCCAGAAGCGGGGGACAACAUUUGGAAACAGAUGCUAAUACCGCAUAACAGCGUUGUUCGCAUGAACAACGCUUAAAAGAUGGCUUCUCGCUAUCACUUCUGGAUGGACCUGCGGUGCAUUAGCUUGUUGGUGGGGUAAUGGCCUACCAAGGCGAUGAUGCAUAGCCGAGUUGAGAGACUGAUCGGCCACAAUGGGACUGAGACACGGCCCAUACUCCUACGGGAGGCAGCAGUAGGGAAUCUUCCACAAUGGGCGCAAGCCUGAUGGAGCAACACCGCGUGAGUGAAGAAGGGUUUCGGCUCGUAAAGCUCUGUUGUUAAAGAAGAACACGUAUGAGAGUAACUGUUCAUACGUUGACGGUAUUUAACCAGAAAGUCACGGCUAACUACGUGCCAGCAGCCGCGGUAAUACGUAGGUGGCAAGCGUUAUCCGGAUUUAUUGGGCGUAAAGAGAGUGCAGGCGGUUUUCUAAGUCUGAUGUGAAAGCCUUCGGCUUAACCGGAGAAGUGCAUCGGAAACUGGAUAACUUGAGUGCAGAAGAGGGUAGUGGAACUCCAUGUGUAGCGGUGGAAUGCGUAGAUAUAUGGAAGAACACCAGUGGCGAAGGGCGGCUACCUGGUCUGCAACUGACGCUGAGACUCGAAAGCAUGGGUAGCGAACAGGAUUAGAUACCCUGGUAGUCCAUGCCGUAAACGAUGAGUGCUAGGUGUUGGAGGGUUUCCGCCCUUCAGUGCCGGAGCUAACGCAUUAAGCACUCCGCCUGGGGAGUACGACCGCAAGGUUGAAACUCAAAGGAAUUGACGGGGGCCCGCACAAGCGGUGGAGCAUGUGGUUUAAUUCGAAGCUACGCGAAGAACCUUACCAGGUCUUGACAUCUUGCGCCAACCCUAGAGAUAGGGCGUUUCCUUCGGGAACGCAAUGACAGGUGGUGCAUGGUCGUCGUCAGCUCGUGUCGUGAGAUGUUGGGUUAAGUCCCGCAACGAGCGCAACCCUUGUUACUAGUUGCCAGCAUUAAGUUGGGCACUCUAGUGAGACUGCCGGUGACAAACCGGAGGAAGGUGGGGACGACGUCAGAUCAUCAUGCCCCUUAUGACCUGGGCUACACACGUGCUACAAUGGACGGUACAACGAGUCGCGAACUCGCGAGGGCAAGCAAAUCUCUUAAAACCGUUCUCAGUUCGGACUGCAGGCUGCAACUCGCCUGCACGAAGUCGGAAUCGCUAGUAAUCGCGGAUCAGCAUGCCGCGGUGAAUACGUUCCCGGGCCUUGUACACACCGCCCGUCACACCAUGAGAGUUUGUAACACCCAAAGUCGGUGGGGUAACCUUUUAGGAGCCAGCCGCCUAA
This 1449-nucleotide ribosomal RNA is filed under the name Limosilactobacillus fermentum. RNAcentral's name for it is "bacterial SSU rRNA". It matches the Rfam family "Bacterial small subunit ribosomal RNA". Lineage: Bacteria; Bacillati; Bacillota; Bacilli; Lactobacillales; Lactobacillaceae. The record is from RNAcentral.